AUGGAUGAACCUUGAAAACAUUGUGUUAAGUGAAAUAAGCCAGACUCAAAGGGACAAAUAUUGUGUAAUUUCACUUAAUGAACACGAAUAAUCUUUAUAACAUUAAACAUUGCAAAACCCAAAUGCAAAAUAGUCCUAUUUAACAUAAAGUCUUUCAUAUUGUUCUGUUCUGCCAUCCUUCUAUACAUUUGCCCAGACAGGACAGCAACAAGGAAAGAAUAUGUAAACACUAAUCAUUUCUAACUUGCCAUCUGUGACAGUUCACUGUGCUGAAAUUAGAAAGGAUGGAAUCACUUUUCCAUUUCCUUAAGGUCACCAAGGACAGACAAGCUCAGGACAUACUGUAUUUGUCAGAAGAAAAAGAGAUGACUGGUGAGGUGGCAGUGACAAAUCUGUUCUAGGUUCAGCUCAUUUUACUGAAGAAUGUGUGUCCCCUUCUGACAUUUAUCAAAAGAAAUUCAAUUUUAUAAAAAGAAGGAUGUCAAAUAAUAGUACAUUGCUAACACUCAUUUUGUUGCUGUCAGAAGGGCAGAUGGGGGCAAAAAGGGAAAAGGGUGGAUGGAAGAGAAAGUUAUUCCAGCAAGAAACAAACAAAGUCAUGCUAAUAAUACACUUAUAGGCUUGAAUAUAUUUCUGAUUAAAACACCUAUUUUUGAGAUCCAUCUUAGUGCCUGGCUCACACUUUAGAAUACCAGUUUUCACUUCUUCCAGACAGAAGGAACGACACAAAGCAGGUUGAUUUGUGGGUUUUGUGUUUGUUUUUGGUUUUGUAUUUUGUUAUUGUUUGAGUGCCAUUCUGCUGCACCAGGAAGGAAAGAAAGCUAAUGAAACCUGGUAAAACCCCAGGUACAAUGACAUGCACCCUGUGGGCAUGCAAUCAAUAGUUCUUAUGGUGAUGAUGAUGUUUUUCUCUGGCAGAAAAGGGUAUUUUGGGUCAAAAAAUAACCCAAAAGUUGUGACAGAGGUAACGGAAAAAUAGAAGUCAGAUUAAAAUCAAAGGAAGAAAUUCUAACCCAAAAGUUGUGACAGAGGUAACGGAAAAAUAGAAGUCAGAUUAAAAUCAAAGGAAGAAAUUCUAUCAGGAGACUAAUAAUGAAGCUGACAAUAUACUGUAACAAGUAAUAGUGUUUUACCAUACUGCAUAAAAAUAUUGGAUUAAGAUACAAAUUAAAUCUCUUUCUCAGUGAGGGUUUUCUGCAGAACAUAAACAAUUAAGCUGCUUUCUGGAGAAGACAGGAAACUUGAUUAACAGAUCCAAAAAGACAGCAUAGGGAAGAUGGGUUUAACACUAGGAGGUGAAACACCAACUGUUAUCCAAAUUGACUUUUCCAGAAACGUUGGAUAAUUUCAAUCAAGGACUGAAAUAUACUCUUUUCUUUUUAAGCGUCAGUGUUCUCUGGACUUAAACAAGUCAAAGGAGGUUCUUAUUAAAUAAAUGCUACUGGUGCAUAUGUUCCAGUCACAGUCUCCUGAGGUGAGUAUGGAGACACUACAGAAAAUUGAACCAUGAAAUAGGGUUUUGUGUCUCUAUACCAAAAUUUCAAAUAUCUGGAGGUGUCCUAGCUCAUGGUGGCUAAGCAGGCAGCUUGUGGGAGUACAGGAGGCUACAGGAGACGCCAGGAGUAAAACGACCUAUUCUGAGUCCUGUAGUCUCUGUAAGGUGCCUAUUUGAUGCAAUCUAAGACAGUCUUAUUUAGAAUAGGGACCCUUAGAAGCUGCUAAUAUAAGUCAAAGAAACAAAUACUUCUGUGCAUUUUUCCCCACAAAUAAGGGAUUGUCCUAAACCUCUAAGCAUUAAACCAGGAAUCCAGUAAAAACCAGGCUUAUUGUACUCCAAUCCCCAACUCACGUACUGUCUUAGAGAUUUUCAGACACAAGGUGCUAAAAGUUAUAUAGCAUAUUUUAAAAUUUAUCUGUUAUCAAGUGCCUUUCAUUGAACAAAAAAAAAAUCAAAUUCAAUAGUACAUAAACAAGAUCUUUCUGCUCCUUCUUGGAAGAUUUUUAGGAGAAUUAAAGUCAUAGAGACAAUCAUCUACAUGCCAUUAAUAUUGUCAUCUUCACAUAUUAUUACCAGUAUUAUUACCAGCACAGCUUUCAAGGUUUGAAAUUUUGCAUUGGGCUGGCCUUAACAUUUGGACAAAUCCUUUUUAAAUAUAGGGAAUAAAUAAUAAAUUUAAAAAUAAAAUACGUUAAUAUGCAAUUUUUUUUUUUUGAGACUGAGUCUCACACUGUCACCUGGGCUGGUGUGCAGUGGCACCAUCUUGACUUACUGCAACCUCCGCCUCCCAGGUUCAAGCAAUUCUCUUGCCUCAGCCUCCCAAGUAGCUGGAUUGCAGGUGCCUGCCACCACGCCCGGCUAAUUUUUUGUAUUUUUUAGUAGAGAUGGGGUUUCACCAUGUUGGCCAGGCUAGUCUUGAACCCCUGACCUUGUGAUUCUCCUGCCUCGGACUCCCAAAGUGCUAGAAUUACAG
This 2471-nucleotide long non-coding RNA is filed under the name Homo sapiens (human). Its description in RNAcentral is "non-protein coding lnc-LRRN3-2:1". Lineage: Eukaryota; Metazoa; Chordata; Mammalia; Primates; Hominidae. The record is from RNAcentral.